RNAcentral lists this unclassified non-coding RNA (230 nucleotides) under Hevea brasiliensis (rubber tree). The record is from RNAcentral. Lineage: Eukaryota; Viridiplantae; Streptophyta; Magnoliopsida; Malpighiales; Euphorbiaceae.
AAUUCAGCUCAAAAGAAUCAGAAGAAUAAUGAAGCUGAGGACGGUGGUCGGCGCGUGCUGAUCCACCUACAUCACCACGCACGAUUUCGGCGCAACUAUCAGUCUAUUCAAUUAUUGUUUCAUCCACCGCUCGAGAUUUUUAUUCAACUUGUCCCUAACUAUAAUUAUUGUAUUCUUCAGUAACCCUUUAAGAAGGGUAAAGUGAAGGGCUUGACAAUUAUGAACAUUUG